UACGUAGGCAGCAAGCGUUGUUCGGAGUUACUGGGCGUAAAGGGUGUGUAGGCGGUUGUUUUAAGUUUGGUGUGAAAUCUCCCGGCUCAACUGGGAGGGUGCGCCGAAUACUGAAUGACUAGAGUGCGGGAGAGGAAAGUGGAAUUCCUGGUGUAGCGGUGAAAUGCGUAGAUAUCAGGAGGAACACCGGUGGUGAAGGCGGCCUUCUGGACAGUGACUGACGCUGAGACGCGAAAGCGUGGGGAGCGAACGGAUUAGACUAC
RNAcentral lists this ribosomal RNA (263 nucleotides) under uncultured bacterium. Its description in RNAcentral is "partial 16S ribosomal RNA". It matches the Rfam family "Bacterial small subunit ribosomal RNA", at positions 524 to 786 of the family's 1533-position model. The record is from RNAcentral.